This 594-nucleotide ribosomal RNA is filed under the name fungal sp. 7 CC 18-03. RNAcentral describes it as "eukaryotic LSU rRNA". The stretch from base 232 to 385 matches the Rfam family "5.8S ribosomal RNA". The record is from RNAcentral. Lineage: Eukaryota; Fungi.
UCUUGGUCAUUUAGAGGAAGUAAAAGUCGUAACAAGGUCUCCGUUGGUGAACCAGCGGAGGGAUCAUUAAAGAGUUGCAAAACUCCAAACCCACUGUGAACAUACCUGCAAGUUGCGUCGGCAGAUGGCUCCGGGAGGGCCCUCGCUUGUGCCCCAAAAGGCUAUAGGUAUCUGCCGAAAUAUUUCAUACUCUGCUAUACGUACUAUUCUGAAUACUAUUUAAUAAGUAAAAACUUUCAACAACGGAUCUCUUGGUUCUGGCAUCGAUGAAGAACGCAGCGAAAUGCGAUAAGUAAUGUGAAUUGCAGAAUUCAGUGAAUCAUCGAAUCUUUGAACGCACAUUGCGCCCGCCAGUAUUCUGGCGGGCAUGCCUGUUCGAGCGUCAUUUCAACCCUCAAGCACUGCUUGGUGUUGGGGCUCUACAGCAGUAGGCCCUAAAAACCAGUGGCGGGCUCGCUAUUAUCCCGAGCGUAGUAAAAAGCAUCGCUCUAGGGUUUACUAGCGGGUUCUAGCCGUUAAGCCCACUAAAUCUAAAGGUUGACCUCGGAUCAGGUAGGAAUACCCGCUGAACUUAAGCAUAUCAAUAAGCGGAGG